GCUACAGAAGAGUGAGGAGAUGGUCAUGGCUUGGAGUGGGCCCAGCACCAGCGCUCCCCUUAGGUACCUGCAGUCCCUUGGCCCUAAAAUGCAUAUACAUAGUUACAGAAGGGCUGGCACUGCAGAAAUCUGAGAUAAGAGCCCUACCCCUUCCUUGGUGCGGUGAGCACGAUACGAAGGAUGAAGAGGAACUCAAGGCACAACCACGAGGACUUAGUGGGGUCUUGCCAGCAGUUAUCAAAAACAAAUAUGUCUCAUCUGUUUCCUGUCUUGAAAAGGAGGAGCAUGAGAGCCAUGGAGUGAAAUGCUCAGUGAUGUUGGGGGCAAUCACAGCCUCAGCCACUGCAAUACCUGCCCACACCCACAGCUCGGGCAAUAAACUGCUGACUACAACGAAUAUUAUAAAAAUUCCUCCC
This 416-nucleotide long non-coding RNA is filed under the name Ficedula albicollis (Collared flycatcher). RNAcentral's name for it is "lncRNA (ENSFALG00000027088.1)". The record is from RNAcentral. Lineage: Eukaryota; Metazoa; Chordata; Aves; Passeriformes; Muscicapidae.